UGGGGAAUAUUGCACAAUGGGGGAAACCCUGAUGCAGCCAUGCCGCGUGUGUGAAGAAGGCCUUCGGGUUGUAAAGCACUUUCAGUCGUGAGGAAAGGUUAGUAAUUAAUACUUGCUAGCUGUGACGUUAGCGACAGAAGAAGCACCGGCUAACUCCGUGCCAGCAGCCGCGGUAAUACGGAGGGUGCGAGCGUUAAUCGGAAUUACUGGGCGUAAAGCGUGCGUAGGCGGUUUGAUAAGCCAGAUGUGAAAUCCCGGGGCUUAAUUUUGGAAUUGCAUUUGGAAUUGUUUGAUUAGAGUAUUGUAGAGGGUGGUGGAAUUUCCAGUGUAGCGGUGAAAUGCGUAGAGAU
This 350-nucleotide ribosomal RNA is filed under the name uncultured bacterium. Its description in RNAcentral is "bacterial SSU rRNA". It matches the Rfam family "Bacterial small subunit ribosomal RNA", at positions 355 to 697 of the family's 1533-position model. The record is from RNAcentral.